Molecule: ribosomal RNA, 313 nt
Filed under: uncultured bacterium
Lineage: Bacteria
Description: bacterial SSU rRNA
Rfam family: Bacterial small subunit ribosomal RNA
Source: RNAcentral
AACGAACGCUGGCGGCAUGCCUAACACAUGCAAGUCGAACGCCCGGCUUCGGCCGGGAGUGGCGCACGGGUGAGUAACGCGUGGGAACCUGCCCCGAGGUGGGGGAGUAACCCGGCGAAAGACCGGGCGUAAUACCGCAUACGUCCCGACGAGAGAAAGAAUUGAUCGCCUUGGGAGGGGCCCGGCGUCGGAUUAGGUAGUUGGUGGGGUAACGGCCUACCAAGCCUGUGAUCCGUAGCUGGUCUGAGAGGANGGCCAGCCACACUGGGACUGAGACACGGCCCAGACUCCUACGGGAGGCAGCAGUGGGGAA